RNAcentral lists this ribosomal RNA (424 nucleotides) under uncultured bacterium. RNAcentral describes it as "bacterial SSU rRNA". It matches the Rfam family "Bacterial small subunit ribosomal RNA", at positions 473 to 895 of the family's 1533-position model. The record is from RNAcentral.
CGGUACCACUUGAGUAAGCACCGGCUAACUACGUGCCAGCAGCCGCGGUAAUACGUAGGGUGCGAGCGUUGUUCGGAAUUACUGGGCGUAAAGGGAGUGUAGGCGGAAUUGUAAGUUAGAAGUUUAAUAUACGGGCUCAACCCGUAAUCUGCUUUUAAUACUGCAGUUCUUGAGUAUGGGAGAGGGUGAUGGAAUUUCAGGUGUAGCGGUGGAAUGCGUAGAUAUCUGAAAGAACACCAGUAGCGAAGGCGGUCGCCUGGCCCAAUACUGACGCUGAUGCUCGAAAGCUAGGGGAGCAAACAGGAUUAGAUACCCUGGUAGUCCUAGCCGUAAACGAUGGACACUAGUUGCUGGAGGAGUCAAUCUUUUCGGUGACGAAGCUAACGCAUUAAGUGUCCCGCCUGGGAAGUACGCCCGCAAGGGU